This 533-nucleotide ribosomal RNA is filed under the name marine sediment bacterium BB0608_AND_3.2_5G0. Its description in RNAcentral is "bacterial SSU rRNA". It matches the Rfam family "Bacterial small subunit ribosomal RNA", at positions 75 to 644 of the family's 1533-position model. The record is from RNAcentral.
UUCCUUCGGGAACUGGAGAGUGGCGCACGGGUGAGUAACGCGUGGGGACCUACCUCUUAGUGGGGGAUAACGGUUGGAAACGACCGCUAAUACCGCAUACGCCCUUCGGGGGAAAGAUUUAUCGCUAAGAGAUGGACCCGCGUUGGAUUAGAUAGUUGGUGAGGUAACGGCUCACCAAGUCAGCGAUCCAUAGCUGGUUUGAGAGGAUGAUCAGCCACACUGGGACUGAGACACGGCCCAGACUCCUACGGGAGGCAGCAGUGGGGAAUAUUGGACAAUGGGGGCAACCCUGAUCCAGCCAUGCCGCGUGAGUGAAGAAGGCCUUCGGGUUGUAAAGCUCUUUCAGAUGCGAAGAUGAUGACGGUAACAUCAGAAGAAGCCCCGGCUAAUUUCGUGCCAGCAGCCGCGGUAAUACGAAAGGGGCUAGCGUUGUUCGGAUUUACUGGGCGUAAAGGGCACGCAGGCGGUCUUGCCAGUCAGGGGUGAAAGCCCGGGGCUCAACCCCGGAACUGCCUCUGAUACUGCAAGACUAG